RNAcentral lists this ribosomal RNA (238 nucleotides) under uncultured bacterium. Its description in RNAcentral is "partial 16S ribosomal RNA". It matches the Rfam family "Bacterial small subunit ribosomal RNA", at positions 531 to 769 of the family's 1533-position model. The record is from RNAcentral.
GAUGCGAGCGUUAUCCGGAUUUAUUGGGUUUAAAGGGUGCGUAGGCGGUGCAUUAAGUCAGCGGUAAAAGCCCGGGGCUCAACCCCGGCGAGCCGUUGAAACUGGUGUGCUUGAGAGGCCGAGAGGUAUGCGGAAUGCGCGGUGUAGCGGUGAAAUGCAUAGAUAUCACGAAGAACUCCGAUUGCGAAGGCAGCUUACCGUAGCAUUACUGACGCUGAUGCUCGAAGGUGCGGGUAUC